AAUUCUCAACCCCCCUAUUUUGUAAUGAAAUGGGAGCUAGGGCUUGGAUUAUGGCUGCCUGCCGGACCUUUAAGUAGGACCAGCUCAGCUGAAAUACAUGAGCGGCGCACUUUGAAAUAAGGCGGCUUGACUCGGCGUAAUAGCUUAUUCGCUGAGGACGUCUAUUCAAAAACAGCGGCUUCUAACGCAGUAUUCCUUUGGGAUACCAUCUUAAGC
This 216-nucleotide unclassified non-coding RNA is filed under the name uncultured Erythrobasidiales. RNAcentral describes it as "sequence contains ITS2". The record is from RNAcentral. Lineage: Eukaryota; Fungi; Basidiomycota; Cystobasidiomycetes; Erythrobasidiales.